RNAcentral lists this ribosomal RNA (495 nucleotides) under uncultured bacterium. RNAcentral's name for it is "partial 16S ribosomal RNA". It matches the Rfam family "Bacterial small subunit ribosomal RNA", at positions 28 to 507 of the family's 1533-position model. The record is from RNAcentral.
GACGAACGCUGGCGGCGUGCCUAAUACAUGCAGGUAGAACGCUGAAGGAGGAGCUUGCUCUUCUGGAUGAGUUGCGAACGGGUGAGUAACGCGUAGGUAACCUGCCUGGUAGCGGGGGAUAACUAUUGGAAACGAUAGCUAAUACCGCAUAAGAGUAGAUGAUGCAUGACAUUUGCUUAAAAGGUGCAAUUGCAUCACUACCAGAUGGACCUGCGUUGUAUUAGCUAGUUGGUGGGGUAACGGCUCACCAAGGCGACGAUACAUAGCCGACCUGAGAGGGUGAUCGGCCACACUGGGACUGAGACACGGCCCAGACUCCUACGGGAGGCAGCAGUAGGGAAUCUUCGGCAAUGGACGGAAGUCUGACCGAGCAACGCCGCGUGAGUGAAGAAGGUUUUCGGAUCGUAAAGCUCUGUUGUAAGAGAAGAACGAGUGUGAGAGUGGAAAGUUCACACUGUGACGGUAUCUUACCAGAAAGGGACGGCUAACUACGUG